RNAcentral lists this long non-coding RNA (647 nucleotides) under Heterocephalus glaber (naked mole-rat). RNAcentral's name for it is "lncRNA (ENSHGLG00100041231.1)". Lineage: Eukaryota; Metazoa; Chordata; Mammalia; Rodentia; Bathyergidae. The record is from RNAcentral.
CUCGCUCGGCCGCGUCAGGAUCCGACAGGGGCGUCUGUAGCCAGGGAAACAAAUAUUCAAUGGCGAUUAAAGAGGCAUAUAUGGAGAUGAUGCCUUAAAAGAAAACUUCGUUAUUAAUAAUACUGAUCACAGAAGCUACCACACACUGAGAUGUUCUCAGGACUUUGGAGUUAUUACUACAUCUAAUCCUCACUCCAGCCAGGAUUUGGGCCAGGGAUGUAGCUCAGUGGCACUCCACCUGCCUGACAAGCUCAAGGUCCUGAGUUCAAUCCCUGGUACUGCAAAAAAAAAAAAAAAAAAAAAGAAAGAAAGAAAGAAAGAAAGAAAGAAAAGGUAAAAUUCUGUAUUCACCAAAGAAUCUAGCUGAUCCUUUAAAAACCUCAGUCUACUCCUGAGUGAAGAAGAGUGAACUUGAAGAUGUCUUCCCACUGUUGGGUGGUAGAACAGCUGGCUUUCCAGGGCCUGCCUGGCUGAGGGACCUCAUGACCCGGGGUUAAAUGCUCCCAGUCAGCACCUGAUAGUUCCUUGGCUUCCCUGUGCUCCCAAGACACCCAGGACCCACAAGGACAGGGCACAGGUUGCUCCCAUGAUCUGGCACCCACCCUCAGCUCUGCCAGCUGUCCCUCUUCACUUGUCCUGCUCCUGUG